CCAUUAACCAUUACAAUCCAACU
This 23-nucleotide non-coding RNA is filed under the name Arabidopsis thaliana (thale cress). The record is from RNAcentral. Lineage: Eukaryota; Viridiplantae; Streptophyta; Magnoliopsida; Brassicales; Brassicaceae.